GGCUGGUCUGAAUGCAGUCAUGUUUACAACUAACUGAUCACAACCAAUACUGAUUUCUUUGUUCCUUCUCCACUCCACUGCCUCAUUAGGCUAGCCUUAA
Molecule: Y RNA, 100 nt
Filed under: Cebus imitator (Panamanian white-faced capuchin)
Lineage: Eukaryota; Metazoa; Chordata; Mammalia; Primates; Cebidae
Description: Y RNA (ENSCCAG00000003269.1)
Rfam family: Y RNA
About the family: Y RNAs are components of the Ro ribonucleoprotein particle (Ro RNP), in association with Ro60 and La proteins. The Y RNAs and Ro60 and La proteins are well conserved, but the function of the Ro RNP is not known.
Source: Rfam by way of RNAcentral